RNAcentral lists this ribosomal RNA (463 nucleotides) under uncultured bacterium. RNAcentral's name for it is "SSU rRNA". It matches the Rfam family "Bacterial small subunit ribosomal RNA", at positions 26 to 518 of the family's 1533-position model. The record is from RNAcentral.
AGAAUCAACGCUGGCGGCGUGCCUAACACAUGCAAGUCGAACGAGAAAGUGGAGCAAUCCAUGAGUAAAGUGGCGCACGGGUGAGUAACACGUGACUAACCUACCCUUGAGUGGGGGAUAACCUAGAGAAAUCUGGGCUAAUACCGCAUAAUACCUUCGGGUCAAAGGAGCAAUUCGCUUAAGGAGGGGGUCGCGGCCGAUUAGUUAGUUGGCGGGGUAAUGGCCCACCAAGACUAUGAUCGGUAUCCGGCCUGAGAGGGCGCGACGGACGACGACUGGAACUGAAACACGGUCCAGACUCCUACGGGAGGCAGCAGUGGGGAAUUUUGCGCAAUGGGGGAAACCCUGACGCAGCAACGCCGCGUGGAGGAUGAAGUCCCUUGGGACGUAAACUCCUUUCGAUCGGGACGAUUAUGACGGUACCGGAAGAAGAAGCCCCGGCUAACUUCGUGCCAGCAGCCGC